ACAGGAUUGUGAUUUGUGUGAUUUGUCCCAUCAAACAGACUCAAGACAUUGACCAAUCCCAUAUAUAUAUCUCACACACACACGAGCCCCAACCCUAAUCCAAGCCCUACCAGUUCCCCAACACAGCACCUCCUAGGACAUCAUGUGUGGCAUUACUGCCCCCACAAAACAUUUAUUAACCCAACACUUUCUCCUCUCCAGGCAGAUAUGCUGAUUGGCCCCACAAAUGCUGACAAAGGAAUACCCCAGUCCAACUCUCAGCAAGUGGCAUUAGGAAUCCUGGGUGGUUCAGUUGGUUGAGCAUGGCACUUGCAACGCCAGGGUUGUGGGUUUGAUUCCCACAGAGGACUAGUAUUCAUAUAAAAGCUGUACAGGUUAUGAGCAGCAGGUGGUGGAGUGGUUCAAUCGAGACGGGUCCAAGACAGCUGGGGAGGAUGUAGCAGAAUGGAUCUUCCUGGUGUCUGAGGACAGGAUCCAAGUGACAUAUCAAGGGGAGGAUGACUGGGUUAUUCCUGCUUGGAGAAACUUCAAGCCCAGAGAUUCAGGGGAUUCCCAGAACCCACACUCCUUCACCCUUCAGAUGGCUCCCACCUAUUCACCUGGCAACCACCUUUCAGGUGUAAUCUUCAGGGGCAAUAAACAGUAGCUAAACAAUCUACAGAAUUUACACCUGGCUUUGAUCAUCUAUUUGGUGCCACCAGCAAUUUGAGAUAAAAUGUUCUUCCGUUAUGUGGGUUAAGUAACUAUGGUGUUUGUCCAAUGGACUUUAUGUAUGUGCUUUCAGGUAGAUCCAUUUUAGAAGCCAAGUAAGAAUAUGUAUGAAAUGUUAGUCCAUAUGAUGGAGGAGGAGAAUGUGGUAAAAUCAAGGAGUCUGAGAAAGAGGUGUACUAGACCUUUUCUGACAUGUCUUCAUAUUAGAGAAAUAUCAAAGUAAUAAACAGUUAAUAUUUUUACUCAGGUGAGGGGAAUACUGGGUGUAAGAGAACAAGAAGAGGGCAGUACUGAGCUUUACAUCUCCAUCUACAACACAGAGAGGAUGGCCAAAGAGGAGCGUCUUCGACAGGCGGUGAAGAAGCUGGACAUCUUAGCACCGUUUCAGGCCCAGCUGGGUGACCCAGAGAACCUGACCAGACAGGCUGCUAUACAGCUGACCUGAAGAAGUGACUUGUCGAUAAGGCCAACCUCAUACAUGCUCGUUUUGAGAGGGAGACCCAGGACCUUCAGUAGAAACAGCAGUGCUGCAGAAAAAACAGCCCACUAUGACCAAGGAGGAUGAAGAUGAAUACCUUGCUUACUGCUCUGAUGCCAUGUGCACGAUACAUAUUCUCAAACUGUGGUUGAGCAGCUUGAAUUCAACAUGGAUGAAAUGUUCUUACCCAUCUACACACAAUACCCUCCUAAUGACAAGGUGAAAAC
Long non-coding RNA from Oncorhynchus masou masou (cherry salmon), 1416 nucleotides. RefSeq lists it as uncharacterized. The record is from RefSeq and is a predicted model, not a curated record. NCBI's taxonomy places the organism in Eukaryota, Metazoa, Chordata, Actinopteri, Salmoniformes, Salmonidae. The transcript has 5 exons.